This is a long non-coding RNA of Heteronotia binoei (common prickly gecko), 533 nucleotides long. RefSeq lists it as uncharacterized. The transcript is spliced from 2 exons. The record is from RefSeq and is a predicted model, not a curated record. NCBI's taxonomy places the organism in Eukaryota, Metazoa, Chordata, Lepidosauria, Squamata, Gekkonidae.
ACAAACCAACAGAAAUGGCAGGCAAUGGCUAACACAGCUCCCACAAGCUGCGGCAAAGAGGCAUCGGCGGCAAUCGUUUGCUCACAACCCCACCGCCAGCAGCGCUUACCAAGAGACAGAACUAGAAAACAAAUUGCAGAAAGCCACAGUACCUGCUCGGUAACCGGAAUGGACUCCCAUCGGCGCUUCAACAAGAGCAAGGGUCUCCGUUUCAUGGUUCCCUGUCUUUUUGCCUCUUAGAGCUCUUUCCCCUCCCUCAGGAGAAUUUCAAGCCAACAGAGAAGAUGCUAUUUCCGAUCCCAAAGUUGCAUUGUUCAAGUCGAAGGCAGGGAUCGCAAAGUUUUGUGUUUGCUGAAGGUGCUGCGAGACAGAUGAGCAUCGUCUCAUAGAGCCUGGGAAAGGAAGGACUGCCUGUUCCCUGAAGACCAAGGGUUACGCCUCGCCACCCACUCAACAAACCAACAGCACUGGGACCGUAUCGGCAACUAAAUCCUGUCCAUAUGGCACCCUCAAUAAACUGCCUUUAAAACACA